RNAcentral lists this unclassified non-coding RNA (474 nucleotides) under Pleurocordyceps sinensis. RNAcentral describes it as "Polycephalomyces sinensis sequence contains ITS1, ITS2". The stretch from base 92 to 245 matches the Rfam family "5.8S ribosomal RNA". Lineage: Eukaryota; Fungi; Ascomycota; Sordariomycetes; Hypocreales; Polycephalomycetaceae. The record is from RNAcentral.
GGGGGGCCUUGUGCCCCCGGGCCCGCGCCCGCCGAAGACCCCUCAAACGCUGCCCUGAAGGUUGCCGUCUGAGUAUAAAAUCAAUCAUUAAAACUUUCAACAACGGAUCUCUUGGUUCCGGCAUCGAUGAAGAACGCAUCGAAAUGCGAUAAGUAAUGUGAAUUGCAUAAUUCCUUGAAUCAUCGAAUCUUUGAACGCACAUUGCGCCCCCUGGCAUUCCGGGGGGCAUGCCUGUCCGAGCGUCAUUGCUAACCCUCCAGCCCGGCUGGUGUGUUGGGUCGGCGUCCCCCCCGGGGGACGGGCCCGAAAGGCAGCGGCGGCGCCGCGUCCGAUCCUCGAGCGUAUGGGGCUUUGUCACGCGCUCUGGUAGGGUCGGCCGGCUGGCCAGCCAGCGACCUCACGGUCACCUAUUUUUUCUCUUAGGUUGACCUCGGAUCAGGUAGGGAUACCCGCUGAACUUAAGCAUAUCAAUAA